AUUGAACGCUGGCGGCAUGCCUUACACAUGCAAGUCGAACGGCAGCGCGGGAGCAAUCCUGGCGGCGAGUGGCGAACGGGUGAGUAAUAUAUCGGAACGUGCCCAGUAGUGGGGGAUAGCCCGGCGAAAGCCGGAUUAAUACCGCAUGAGACCUGAGGGUGAAAGCGGGGGAGUCGCAAGACCUCGCGCUAUUGGAGCGGCCGAUAUCAGAUUAGCUAGUUGGUGGGGUAAAGGCCUACCAAGGCAACGAUCUGUAGUUGGUCUGAGAGGACGACCAGCCACACUGGGACUGAGACACGGCCCAGACUCCUACGGGUGGCAGCAGUAGGGAAUAUUGCACAAUGGGCGAAAGCCUGAUGCAGCAACGCCGCGUGCGCGAUGAAGGUCUUCGGAUCGUAAAGCGCUUUUGUCCGGAAAGAAAAGCACUGGAUUAAUACUUCGGUGUUCUGACGGUACCGGAAGAAUAAGCACCGGCUAACUUCGUGCC
RNAcentral lists this ribosomal RNA (487 nucleotides) under uncultured bacterium. RNAcentral's name for it is "bacterial SSU rRNA". It matches the Rfam family "Bacterial small subunit ribosomal RNA", at positions 30 to 509 of the family's 1533-position model. The record is from RNAcentral.